GAACUUAGCAGAGAUGCUUUGGUGCCUUCGGGAACUCUGAGACAGGUGCUGCAUGGCUGUCGUCAGCUCGUGUUGUGAAAUGUUGGGUUAAGUCCCGCAACGAGCGCAACCCUUAUCCUUUGUUGCCAGCGGUUCGGCCGGGAACUCAAAGGAGACUGCCAGUGAUAAACUGGGAGGAAGGUGGGGAUGACGUCAAGUCAUCAUGGCCCUUACGAGUAGGGCUACACACGUGCUACAAUGGCGUAUACAAAGAGAAGCGACCUCGCGAGAGCAAGCGGACCUCAUAAAGUACGUCGUAGUCCGGAUUGGAGUCUGCAACUCGACUCCAUGAAGUCGGAAUCGCUAGUAAUCGUGGAUCAGAAUGCUACGGUGAAUACGUUCCCGGGCCUUGUACACACCGCCCGUCACACCAUGGGAGUGGGUUGCAAAAGAAGUAGGUAGCUUAACCUUCGGGAGGGCGCUUACCACUUUGUGAUUCAUGACUGGGGUGAAGUCGUAACAAGGUAGGCGUAGAUGA
Molecule: ribosomal RNA, 517 nt
Filed under: uncultured bacterium
Lineage: Bacteria
Description: bacterial SSU rRNA
Rfam family: Bacterial small subunit ribosomal RNA
Source: RNAcentral